RNAcentral lists this ribosomal RNA (811 nucleotides) under uncultured archaeon. RNAcentral describes it as "bacterial SSU rRNA". It matches the Rfam family "Archaeal small subunit ribosomal RNA", at positions 85 to 879 of the family's 1478-position model. The record is from RNAcentral.
ACUGCUCAGUAACACGUGGCUAAUCUGCCCUUGGGACCGGAACACCCCCGGGAAACUGGGGCUAAUUCUCGAUAGGUGAAGAACUCUGGAAUGAGUCUUUGCUUAAAAGACGUUUACGUUAUGCUCGUAGAUGUCGCCCAAGGAUGAGGCCGCGACCGAUCAGGUUGUUGGUGAGGUAAUGGCUCACCAAGCCUUUUACCGGUGCGGGCCGUGAGAGCGGGAGCCCGGAGAUGGGCACUGAGACAAGGGCCCAGGCCCUACGGGGCGCAGCAGUCGCGAAAACUUUGCAAUACACGAAAGUGUGACAGGGCUAUCCCGAGUGCCAUCCGCUGAGGAAGGCUUUUACCCAGUCUAGAACGCUGGGGGAAUAAGGAGAGGGCAAGUCUGGUGUCAGCCGCCGCGGUAAUACCAGCUCUCCGAGUGGUGUGGAUGUUUAUUGGGCCUAAAGCAUCCGUAGCUGGCUGAGUUAGUCCCUUGUUAAAUCCACCGAAUUAAUCGUUGGAUUGCGGGGGAUACUGCUCGGCUAGGGGACGAGAGAGGCAGACGGUAUUUCCGGGGUAGGGGUGAAAUCCUAUAAUCCCGGGAAGACCACCAGUGGCGAAGGCUGUCUGCUAGAACGCGCCCGACGGUGAGGGAUGAAAGCUGGGGGAGCGAACCGGAUUAGAUACCCGGGUAGUCCCAGCUGUAAACGAUGCAGGCUAGGUGUUUGGACGGCCACGUGCCGUUCUAGUGCCGCAGGGAAGCUGUUAAGCCUGCCGCCUGGGGAGUACGAUCGCAAGAUUGAAACUUAAAGGAAUUGGCGGGGGAGCAC